RNAcentral lists this ribosomal RNA (422 nucleotides) under uncultured bacterium. RNAcentral describes it as "bacterial SSU rRNA". It matches the Rfam family "Bacterial small subunit ribosomal RNA", at positions 355 to 776 of the family's 1533-position model. The record is from RNAcentral.
UGAGGAAUAUUGGUCAAUGGGCGCAAGCCUGAACCAGCAACGCCGCGUGAGGGAUGACAGGGCUCUGCCUUGUAAACCUCUGUCGGAUGGGAAGAAAAGCCGGGUCGCCCGGCUGGGACUGUACCAUUAGAGGAAGGGUCGGCUAACUACGUGCCAGCAGCCGCGGUAAUACGUAGGACCCAAGCGUUGUCCGGAUUUACUGGGUGUAAAGGGUGCGUAGGCGGAUUUGUGCGUCAGAGGUUAAAUCCCAUCGCUUAACGAUGGAACUGCCUUUGAUACGGCAAGUCUUGAAUGCGAGAGAGGAUGAUGGAAUUCCUGGUGUAGCGGUGAAAUGCGUAGAUAUCAGGAGGAACACCAGUGGCGAAGGCGGUCAUCUGGCUCGUUAUUGACGCUGAGGCACGAAAGCGUGGGGAUCAAACAGG